Non-coding RNA from Lolium perenne, 582 nucleotides. Lineage: Eukaryota; Viridiplantae; Streptophyta; Magnoliopsida; Poales; Poaceae. The record is from RefSeq and is a predicted model, not a curated record.
AACCAAAAACUGUCAUCUUGCUCUCAUUGGCCGCAAGAACUAAAGGCUUGGUGGUUGGUAAAGGAAUCAUAAAAAGUAGAGAUAGCAAAUAUGUGGUUCAAGGGGAUACAUUGGGUGACUCAUUUUGGGCAAUCAGUGUUCUAAAUGUUAGUAAACUUGGAUGUGAAGAACUGCCUCGACCAUUUGAAGAUAUCCAAACUGUAGAAGAUGCUAUUGGUCAUUGCAUUGCUUGGCCAUCUACUCAUGUUAAGAGAGUAAAAGAUGUUUCAAACUAAGGCAACAUGUCUUCUGAUCUUGCAAUGCAAGGAAAUUUCACAAAGUGUGACAAGAGAUCAGGGGAACUCAAAGUGCUGAUCAUUUCACAAGAGCAGAAGAGCAGUGUGUAUUAUUUUAAAUACUAUGCUAUUUAGUUUUUCGUGUGAUGUUGCCUAGCAAGGGGAGGUUAUCUCGUGCUCAGAACAUGUUUAGUUUUCUGUUUUUUCUUUCAUGAACAUCUAGCGCUCACACUUAGGUGUCGUGGUCUGUUUUUAAGUUCAGUAUUUGUGUUUCUUUUAUCAAUCAUUGAACCCUCUGUAUAUUUAU